UGGGGAAUUUUCCGCAAUGGGCAAAAGCCUGACGGAGCAAUGCCGCGUGGAGGUGGAAGGCCUACGGGUCGUCAACUUCUUUUCUCGGAGAAGAAACAAUGACGGUAUCUGAGGAAUAAGCAUCGGCUAACUCUGUGCCAG
RNAcentral lists this ribosomal RNA (141 nucleotides) under uncultured bacterium. RNAcentral describes it as "partial 16S rRNA". It matches the Rfam family "Bacterial small subunit ribosomal RNA", at positions 355 to 511 of the family's 1533-position model. The record is from RNAcentral.